GCAAGUCGAACGGCAGCACGGGUGCUUGCACCUGGUGGCGAGUGGCGAACGGGUGAGUAAUACAUCGGAACAUGUCCUGUAGUGGGGGAUAGCCCGGCGAAAGCCGGAUUAAUACCGCAUACGAUCUACGGAUGAAAGCGGGGGACCUUCGGGCCUCGCGCUAUAGGGUUGGCCGAUGGCUGAUUAGCUAGUUGGUGGGGUAAAGGCCUACCAAGGCGACGAUCAGUAGCUGGUCUGAGAGGACGACCAGCCACACUGGGACUGAGACACGGCCCAGACUCCUACGGGAGGCAGCAGUGGGGAAUUUUGGACAAUGGGCGAAAGCCUGAUCCAGCAAUGCCGCGUGUGUGAAGAAGGCCUUCGGGUUGUAAAGCACUUUUGUCCGGAAAGAAAUCCUUGGUUCUAAUAUAGCCGGGGGAUGACGGUACCGGAAGAAUAAGCACCGGCUAACUACGUGCCAGCAGCCGCGGUAAUACGUAGGGUGCGAGCGUUAAUCGGAAUUACUGGGCGUAAAGCGUGCGCAGGCGGUUUGCUAAGACCGAUGUGAAAUCCCCGGGCUCAACCUGGGAACUGCAUUGGUGACUGGCAGGCUAGAGUAUGGCAGAGGGGGGUAGAAUUCCACGUGUAGCAGUGAAAUGCGUAGAGAUGUGGAGGAAUACCGAUGGCGAAGGCAGCCCCCUGGGCCAAUACUGACGCUCAUGC
RNAcentral lists this ribosomal RNA (702 nucleotides) under uncultured beta proteobacterium. RNAcentral's name for it is "bacterial SSU rRNA". It matches the Rfam family "Bacterial small subunit ribosomal RNA", at positions 57 to 752 of the family's 1533-position model. Lineage: Bacteria; Pseudomonadati; Pseudomonadota; Betaproteobacteria. The record is from RNAcentral.